GAUGAAUGCUGGCGGCGUGCUUAACACAUGCAAGUCGAGCGGUAAGGCCCUUCGGGGUACACGAGCGGCGGACGGCUGAGUAACGCGUGGGAACAUGCCCCAAAGUGAGGAAUAAGCUCCAGAAAUGGAGUCUAAUGCCGCAUAUGAUCUUCGGAUUAAAGGAUUUAUCCGCUUUGGGAGUGGCCUGCGUACGAUUAGCU
RNAcentral lists this ribosomal RNA (200 nucleotides) under uncultured bacterium. RNAcentral describes it as "partial 16S ribosomal RNA". It matches the Rfam family "Bacterial small subunit ribosomal RNA", at positions 28 to 246 of the family's 1533-position model. The record is from RNAcentral.